UACACCGCCAUUGUCAGAUACUCCAUAGAAGGAAGUCCGUCCUGAGUGGGUACUAACUGCAGCCUUGUUGUUGCGGUCCUAUCUAGGAGUAAGUCUCUAGCGUGUGAGGCUGUGUCCCUCGGUCACCGGUUGGUGAGCCAUGUUCCUAAGUAGUCGUAUAUAUGUUGUUGGCUUGGGCAGUAGGAAGGACAGGUAUGAACUUUACUCUGAAUCAAUACAAUCUGUCCCUGUUUCCUCUCCUGUUCUCGUCUCCUACCUCUGCUCCUUCUCUACUAUCUCCUCAUUCCAUUAGCAGUAGCUAACAAUUGGUAUCAGAGCUCCACCGAUCCUCGGAUCCUCGUUCCAUGGCGUCUUCUUCAUCCAUCGGCAUCAACUUCAUCCAGGUGCUGGAACAUCAGACGCGCGCCCUCUUCUCGGAGUUGGACAAGCGUCUUCAGGCUCGCGACGACAAAUGGGAGUUCCGUGUUGCCGUCCUGGAGUCCCGCGCGGCGGAUUCGGAGCGCCAACUCGACAACGUCUCCUCCGACCUGCGAACCGACGUCGCGGCCCAGAUCUCAGUGGUGGAGGCGCUCGAGUCCAUUGUCGUUGAUUCGACACAGCACAUGGAUUCGGUUUCGUCCAGCAUUCGUGCAGAUCCGGAGGUGCGCCAAGCGGCGGUGGACGCGACCGCGGAGGAUCGGCGCCACCACUUCGAAGCCGCCACCAGCUCACACAUCACGGAACUCGAAUCGACCACCCAAGUGUUCGAGCUCUGGCAUCCCCGCAUCGACUCCGCGAUCAACCAUCUCCACCCCUCCAUGGUCAAGGUUCGAGCAGCGAUCGACACCAGGGACCUACAGUGGUCGCCUGAUGCGCACGGCGGCGGCUCUGGCGGCCUUCUCGGAGAGCCGGGUGGUGAACCAACUGAAAUCAGCGGCGCUGCUCAUGCCGGUGGCCUACCUCGCCCACAUCAACACCCCCAUCGGCAUCCUGCUAUCCAAAGCGUUCGUCGGCGAGGUGCUCUUGGACUUCCUCGGGAUGGCCGAGAUCGACCCGCUAGCACCACUGGUGACGAACCUGAUCAGGGCAUUCUGCCGCUGCCCGAGCAUGAGCUGCUACGACCUCGCCGGCUCCAUCACCGGCAAGAACUACUGCCUCAACAGCUCCGUCGUCGACUUCUUCCUCAAGUACGAGCCCGAGCCGACCUCCACGGUCCACUUUGCUCAAACCGUGCGCGACGUGCUACUGGAGCGCAACAUUGCCAGCUACGGCCAGGGCGAGCCGCCGGUGUACCGGAUAUCUGGCAUCCCACCGAGCUCAGCUUCCCCUUCCUGGCGUCCUAUCUCCUGCAGUUGGUGAUCCGUGAGGAGGAGGGUGAGGUUCCCAGCACCUUGCCCACCCAGUGUUUGAUGAAUUGGUUCAGCUGCAGCUGUGCCUCAGUGUUGUAUGACGUCACCAAACUCAUUAAGCCCCUACCAACUCUGGCGAUGGGUGUUUCAAGCAUACCUCCACCAGCUCCAUUGGGUAUUCAGCUAGUGCUCGAUGCUAUGCCUCGUGGGCCACUACUUGGAGAUGUGCAUGACAAAGGGCCUUGGCCACCACCUAUUCAGUUCGGGAUGCAUGCCACUCAACGCAGGCCAAUUCCCUGGCCAUCCUUCUCUGGUAUUAUAAUUCGGAGGCACUUGUUGCAAUCACUGCCCUUGGUGCCCCACUGCUCAGUAAACAUGAGAAAGAGCAUGUUUACCCAUUGCCAACUCAGUGUGAUACAUUGGAAGCAUUGCUUUGAGUUUUUAGACAAUGCACUGUCGGUAGAUUGCUUCCAGUCGGGUGCGCCUAAAUGGGAUCAAUCAUCUGACACCCACAAGGUAUCUUCAGCUGAAGAUAAAUUGGUUGCGCUGUGCCGAUUUCGUCGAGCUCGAGGUCUCUGGGAAAAAUGUGAUGAGAAAUGGAGUCACGCCUACAAAUGCAUUGUUGAUGCUCAUCUUCAUGCAUUGGAAGAAGUUUGGGAGCUCUUGGUGCCUGAUCCAACUAAAACCGAAGGACAGAGUCCAGAAGAUUCAUCUACAGAGCAGCUGUUUAUGUUAGUAUCUCUGGCUGCUUGGGGAGGUACAAAUGUUUCUCAGACUUUGAAAUUUCAAGGCCAACUUCAGAAUCAUUCAGUUCUGAUAUUGAUUGAUAGUGGUAGUCCAUAUACCUUCUUGCAUGAGAAGUUCCGUGCAUGGUUCCAGCAUGUGGAUCUGGUGGUUGCUCCAUUGCAGGUUCGCGUGGCUAAUGGAGAAUUGUUACAUUGCCAACACAAGAUACUGCAGAUACCGUGGCAAAUUCAGACUUUCAAUCACAUACAGGACACGAUGAUCCCUUCAAAUUUGGACUGUUUUGGGUGGUGCACAUCGGAUGCAUUUUACAAAGCUGCUGAACCAUGUGGGAUUGAGGAGGACCUUCAACGUCGGCGUGAAGGUGGUGUGCCACCAAGGUUUCUGAUUAUAGAUGAUGGUUGGCAAGAGAUAGUUGACUAUUAUCCAGAGACGUUGCAUCAGAUGUUUGUUGCGAAUGCAGGUUCCAGUUUCAAGCUACCAGGGAAUUCUGUGAAAGACUUUCUUGACUCUAAAACUGCUUGAAGAUACAUGUUUUGGGAACAAAGUUUCAGAACAAGCUUCUUGAAGUAAUCGAUGCAAGAUCCUGCAUGUGUUUAGAUUCUGCGUCGACUUGAGGGCAAGUCGAAUUUUAAGGAGGAGGGAAUGUUACACCGCCAUUGUCAGAUACUCCAUAGAAGGAAGUCCGUCCUGAGUGGGUACUAACUGCAGCCUUGUUGUUGCGGUCCUAUCUAGGAGUAAGUCUCUAGCGUGUGAGGCUGUGUCCCUCGGUCACCGGUUGGUGAGCCAUGUUCCUAAGUAGUCGUAUAUAUGUUGUUGGCUUGGGCAGUAGGAAGGACAGGUAUGAACUUUACUCUGAAUCAAUACAAUCUGUCCCUGUUUCCUCUCCUGUUCUCGUCUCCUACCUCUGCUCCUUCUCUACUAUCUCCUCAUUCCAUUAGCAGUAGCUAACAAAGAUCGACCACCGUCCUCUUGUGCAAGAGAAUAUGAGAACCACCCUACCAAAGCCAAGGCGCGGCGUGGACGAACCAGCGCCUCUUGUUCCGGUCGACGUUUUGGGCUUCCAUUCGAGAUGGGCACGUAGAUCCAACCACUCGGCCUUCCGUUCCUGAACGCCGGCUGCCCGGCUGUCACCAUACGCUGGCAAACAUUCUUAGCGAACGAAUCUGAUCGACCAGCCCUCCCAUGGGAUCGUUGCGCCAGCCAAGAUGGUGUACUGCGGCCACAAGACUUUGGCUACUCGAGUUACUCACCGGGUGAGAGUAUGGAC
This 3342-nucleotide long non-coding RNA is filed under the name Zea mays. RNAcentral describes it as "long non-coding RNA (ZMAY_LNC003469)". The record is from RNAcentral. Lineage: Eukaryota; Viridiplantae; Streptophyta; Magnoliopsida; Poales; Poaceae.